RNAcentral lists this ribosomal RNA (253 nucleotides) under uncultured bacterium. Its description in RNAcentral is "partial 16S ribosomal RNA". It matches the Rfam family "Bacterial small subunit ribosomal RNA", at positions 524 to 776 of the family's 1533-position model. The record is from RNAcentral.
UACGGAGGGUGCAAGCGUUAUCCGGGUUCACUGGGUUUAAAGGGUGCGUAGGCGGGUUGGUAAGUCCGUGGUGAAAUCCCCAAGCUUAACUUGGGAACUGCCGUGGAUACUAUCAAUCUUGAAUAUCGUGGAGGUAAGCGGAAUAUGUCAUGUAGCGGUGAAAUGCUUAGAUAUGACAUAGAACACCAAUUGCGUAGGCAGCUUACUACACGAUCAUUGACGCUGAGGCACGAAAGCGUGGGGAGCAAACAGG